GGGAUAACGUAGGGAAACUUACACUAAUACCGCAUACGACCUACGGGUGAAAGUGGGGGACCGCAAGGCCUCACGCGAUUGAAUGAGCCGAUGUCGGAUUAGCUAGUUGGCGGGGUAAAGGCCCACCAAGGNGACGAUCCGUAGCUGGUCUGAGAGGAUGAUCAGCCACACUGGAACUGAGACACGGUCCAGACUCCUACGGGAGGCAGCAGUGGGGAAUAUUGGACAAUGGGCGCAAGCCUGAUCCAGCCAUACCGCGUGAGUGAAGAAGGCCCUCGGGUUGUAAAGCUCUUUUGUUGGGAAAGAAAUCCCAUUGGUUAAUACCCGGUGGGGAUGACGGUACCCAAAGAAUAAGCACCGGCUAACUUCGUGCCAGCAGCCGCGGUAAUACGAAGGGUGCAAGCGUUACUCGGAAUUACUGGGCGUAAAGCGUGCGUAGGUGGUUGUUUAAGUCUGUCGUGAAAGCCCUGGGCUCAACCUGGGAAUU
Molecule: ribosomal RNA, 487 nt
Filed under: proteobacterium enrichment culture clone E142
Lineage: Bacteria; Pseudomonadati; Pseudomonadota
Description: bacterial SSU rRNA
Rfam family: Bacterial small subunit ribosomal RNA
Source: RNAcentral